This 1502-nucleotide long non-coding RNA is filed under the name Sus scrofa (pig). Its description in RNAcentral is "lncRNA (ENSSSCG00030059616.1)". Lineage: Eukaryota; Metazoa; Chordata; Mammalia; Artiodactyla; Suidae. The record is from RNAcentral.
UUAGGGAUGGACCCUUGGCAUAUGGAGGUUCCCAGUCUAGGGGCUGAAUCAGAGCUGUAACUGAGCCUACACCACAGCCACAGCAACGCCAGAUCUGAGCCACAUCUGCCUACACCACAGCUCACGGCAAUGCUGGAUCCUUAACCUACUGAGUGAGGCCAGGGAUCGAACCUGUGUCCUCAGGGAUACUAGUCAGUUUCGUUUCCACUGAGCCAGGAUGGGAACUCCCACAUUUGGGAUUUUAUUCAUGCAUUCAUCCAACAAGUGUUAAGGGUGAACAUGUUUUAAGCGCAAAAAGUUCAAGUUCAGAGAAGAUGGUAGCCUGGGAAAGACGAUAUGGAAGCAGAUGGACAGAUGUGGAUGAUUAAAAGCAUCAGUGAGUGGGUUUCUUUUAGAAAUUAAAUAUGGAGGAUGCGUUUCCAGCAUCAAUUAUUUCAGCUGCAGGAAAAAGAGAACCGGAGCAGAGGUGAUGGGAGAGGCUGAGCUGAGCGGGGCGGAGGAGCGUCCGCUUUGUGCAGUGGGUCCCAGCUCUCUAUCGGAUUCGAGUCUCUGUAGGAGAUUCCCCCGACUAUCACCUACACUCCUGUGACUUUAGGAAAAAAAUUCUGCCUCUGGGACAAAGGUCAGUGAGCUGACUUCCUUGAAGGUGCACUGCUGGUUGCAUUAGUGCCUGGAGGCAGCAAAGUAUAAUGGGUCAGAGCAGGGCUUCUUGCUGUGUGAUCUGGGGCAGGUGAGUUGACGUUUCUGUGCCUUUUUCCUCCUCUGUAAAAUGGCACCUGCCCCACUGGGCUGCAGUAAGGAGACAACAGAGCGAACAGGUAUAAAAUGCUUAGAACAGCCCUCUGAGACAUGGUGAUCGAGGCAUAAAAAUGUUGGCCAAUAUUGCAAAAUGAGUGGGUAACACCCCUCCCCCAGCCCCAGUUGGGAGGGACGGACCUUUGGGGGAAAGUCAUUACUGAAAGAACAGAGUUUUCUUUCAUGUGUUUUGAAAAUGGAAUCCUUCACAGAAGACAGCGCUUCUGCAGAGUAAAAAUGCCAGUGAAAAAGAGAAAAUGCUGACUUCUCCCAGCCUCUGGCACCCAGGAGGAGGGACUCUUCAAGCCAAAGGGACUUUUAGCUGAGUUAUAAAGCAAUAUUCCUGGUGAACGCUACCCUCUGUCCUUCUCCCUGGGAUUGUAAAACUCUGUAACAGAAUGUUCAAAGUCUCCUAGGUAUUUUACAAAAAUCACCAGAGAAAGACUGCCCCCGCAUCAUCAAUUUUUAACCAGUGCUCCCUGGGCAUAUUCUAAAUAAGGGCUAUCUAAAGAACACGUUGCUGGUUUGUUUUCUACUGGUGUUAGCAAGAAAAUCCAUUGUGUGAAUUACACCAUAUGAGUGACACAAAAAAAAACGCUAAGAUAGUUUUUAAAAAUAAUUUUUCCCUCGGUAACCAAAAAAAAAAAAAACCAUUGUAAACAAAUGUGAAAAAUAAAUACACAUACACAGAGAAAAAUAAAAAGUAC